RNAcentral lists this ribosomal RNA (855 nucleotides) under Triticum aestivum (bread wheat). RNAcentral describes it as "partial small subunit ribosomal RNA". The record is from RNAcentral. Lineage: Eukaryota; Viridiplantae; Streptophyta; Magnoliopsida; Poales; Poaceae.
AUGCAUCGUGCGUGCCUCACCUCCAUCUGCAGUUGGAGAGAGAGAUGGAUUGGUGCCUACGACGCGCUGGUCGACGCGGCGGCCGCCGCAGUCCGCGAGCCCGGGUGCACGGUGGCGCUCACGGACCUCCACCGCUGCCUCGAUGCCUUUAGCGAGUCCUGCGACCAAGCCGAGCGCCUCGUCCAGGCGGCCGCUGCCGGCCUCGGCCCCGCCGCCACCUGCCACGACAAGCUGUGUCGCGCCGUGCGUGCGGUCGACAAGGAUCUCUGGGCCGCCGAGGAGAACGAGAUGGAAGACGAGAAGCAUCGCCCUCCGACCACGCCGCUGGCGGCCGAGGACAAAAAGCCCAAUCGAUCUACCUCUUCUCCUGUUGAGAAGAUGAAUGAAACUGUGACGGGAAAGGACAGAUGGACUGGGAUAUAUUGCCUCGCCGUGCCGCAUGGUGGCCGAGAUGCGGUAGCCCCAUGCUCUGUUCCGAUGGGCCUCCUCUGCUCGAUGUUGCCGCUGGUUGAGUUUGGUACGGUUUCCUGUUGUCGCUUGCGUCGAGCCUUGGGUCCGUCUCUCCUUCUCAUUGAGCCUACUUCUCCUGUUGCUGGCGCUUCUUCUUCUCGCCGGUCCUGCUGCUUACCCAACCUUUUGCUUGCUGCCUCGGGUUGCACGAUCUCUGCUGUAGCUGUGUCGUUCGACUCAUCAAGAUAUACCACGAAGGGAAGAUCUGCCUCACUGUGCACUUCAGGCGCGCGCACACUAGCGAUGGUACAGGAUUGGCUUCAUGGUGGAAUCAGGUGCGCAUCGUCCAUGGUGGCCUGUCGUGGGUGUUGGUGGGCGGCUGGAGGCGGCUGUAGCAGGUUCUAG